UUGUUAUCUUUUCAUGAUUUCCGCAUAUAUUUGGUCACUUGUCGUUGGCUCUCGCAGAGAUUUGGGACCUGUGAGAAAUUAGAGUUUUCCUAGUUUCCUUAUUUAAAUGAAAAUCGACAGUGCGAAUUUCGGUUCCCACAAUCGGCAAGCGAACGAAGAAGAGGAAAGCCCAAAAUCGAAAACAAGUCGUCCAAGCAUAAAAAAUCAAUAUUUUAUUCACUCAUUUCUUCCUCCACGCAAACCCAAUUCCAUUCUUCUUCUUCUUCUUCUUCUCCAUCGAUCAAUUCUCUCUUCUCUUUUCAUCGUAUUUCCACCGCCCUUGAACAACAAGUUGUGAGUAAGUUUUGUUCUCAUAGCUGAACCUUCGCUUUUCACGUCUCUCUCUGCGCCGUUUCCUUUUGUGGGUCGCUGGUAAAGUUUUGAUCUUUUUGUUUCUACUUAUCAGAUAAAGUUGGAAACUUUAUUAGUUCGUUGUAUAUCCUAUUAGGUAUUGGGUUUGGCCGUUUCAAUUUUGUGUGGCUCCUGAUUGAAUCACUCUUCUUCGUUUGGUGUAAGGGAAUUGGGUUUGAUCAAGGAGUAUUGUUUAUGUGCUUAAACCUUGUUUCGGCCUCUCUCGGUUGAGUAUAGAUUACUCUCUACUCUGUGUUUGAGUGCUUUCUCAUAUUGCUAAGCAUGUGCUGCAUUAUCUAUAGAUCCUGCCUGAUGCGGGCAUCAAAUCCACUGCUCAUAAAGUAGACAAGACUUUCCAUGUUUGGACUCGGAUGAACCUAGACGACAUCAAACUCAUGGUUCGUUUUAUUCAGCAGGAUGUCUCCAAACAAAGGCCACCACUUAAGCCUCUUUAUCAGCUAAUAAAGAUGUGGAUCAAAGGUAUUAAAGGCGUGGUCAACAUCUCCUUAAUAAGCAGAUUUCAAUCCCUUGAGAACAGCCCUUUUGACCAGCCAUUUGAUUCUCUCUUAAUUACGAUUUGUCCUAAAAAUCCGCCUUUCAUUAUGUCUUUGAUCUUGUCCAAGAGCUAUAUAUAAAGCUCCUCUCAUUUCAUUGCAAAGAUAGACUUGAGUAUUGAAUAGAAAGUGAUAUUUUCUCUUGAGAGCUUUUAUGUUUGUUCUUGUUAUUUCUAAGUUAUGUGAGAUUCUUUCUUAGGAUGCAAGUGUGGAACCUUUAUCUUUGUGUGUGAUUCAUUUAGAUUCUGGUUCAUGAUCUUAUCUCAAAGCCUUCACAUCUUUGAGUGGCGAUCUUCAAUCCAUUUAAGCCGUAGGUUUUGAUUUCUUGUGAGAUAAGCUAAGGUGUGAUUCUGAGGCUGUAUCACUGCCAGUGCGAGAAUGCUAUGUGUUGAAUAAUAAAGGAAAUGUUUUAAUUGGUGAAUAGUAAUCUUAGUAGGAAAAGGUUAGGUGGGUACUUUAUAUCUAGAAUCAUGGUAGACAGUAAUUAAAAAUGCCACAACUCACAAGUUCCCUAUCUUGGUCUGGUCUGUAUGUCUGGUUCUAAGUAUCUGAUCUGCCUUUGUGCUUCAUUUAUUUUCAUUUUAUCUGAUUCUAGCUCCAACAGUGGGUACAUUUUUUAUCUGUCAUGAUGCUUUAUUGUUUGAGGCAGGAUUUGUAGCUGCAUUCUCGUGAGGCACUUCGCUCUUAAUACCCUUACGUGGUAAAACAGGUAAUGGACUGGCUUUGUUGAUCAAUCGGCAGUCUUUACAAAUGAUGAGUACAGGGUAAAAGGCUCCAAACGUAUUCAACUUUUUAAAAUGGCAAGUGAUUGAGCUAUCUAACUGCGAUUGAGCUAUCUAACUGCGGUGAAGUACCAAGUCCCGGCAGAGAGAACCCGUCCGGACUUUUUAACGGAGAGAGCUUAACUGUUCAGCCCAUUUCUGAUUUGGAUCUCUUCUUCGAGAGGCUCUACAGCUACUACAUAGACAAAGGCCUCUGGUGUAUUAUAGUAAAGUGGGCUGUUGAGCUUCUAAGCCUUGGCUUUAUCAUGUGUCUCUGGUACUAUAACAGUGGUAUUAGCGUGGUCUUAAGAAUGCAAAAUGUGGAAUGGAUGUUGUUGAAUCUGGGACUAAGCCAUGCGAUCUUGUCAAAGAGGUUAUCCAUGAGCAUCCUUUGUCCCCUUUCACGCUCACAAUGGCUAUCAUCGUUGGAUAUUUGGCUCUCUUCUCUGUCUACUGGCUCUUCUGCUUCUAAGGUUCUUCGCCCAGUUGAAGGAUACUUUGGACUCCCGGCACUUUUACUACAACAGUCUCCAUGUCACAGACAACGAAAUCCUGACUAUGCCAUGGGAAACAGUCCUUGAAAAGGUUGUUCAGUUACAAAGCUCACAGCGCCUUUGCAUGGUGAAGGAUCUUUCAGCUCAUGAUAUUGUUAUGCACCUUAUGCGGAAAGAAAACUACUUGAUCAGAAUGGUCAACAAAGGUUUGCUUUCUUUCCCGAUCUCCCAUUGGAUCCCUGGUGCUGCUCCUGUAGUCAAAUCUGCUCCACAUGGGACGCAACAUCACCACCUUGUAUUGACAAAGACCCUUGAGUGGACCCUGAACUGCUGCAUAUUGCAGAGCAUGUUUGACUGGGGAAAAAGGGAAUGGUAGUCUCUCUCUUUUCUCUCUUUCCGAGAAUUUUUGAGAGAUCGAGAGGCGCGGUGGUUUCCUCUCGAACAGUGAGUAUCGACUCUGGUACACGGCGGUCCUCUUGACGGUGUGUAGCCGGCUUUGCUUCUGGUGGUUUGCGCCCCUUUGGCGGAACUAUCCGGCGUUCUUUCCGGCGAUGAAACGCUGACGGUGGUGCGAGCUCUAUCCCGAGCCGUUUCUGUUUGUCUUCGGUGCUGGUCGCCGGCUAAAGUAUUGGAUGAUCGGGUUGGUGUCGUUUGGUUUCCUCGGGAGUGAUUGAGGAGUGUGACGGGUUCAUUAUGGUGAUUGUGGGCCUGAGUUUGGAUGAGAUCUCGAUUCCGUUUUUGAUUGAAGUUCUCCGACGCUCAGGUGUAUCAAUUGAAGAAGCUGAUUCCAUUAAACUUCCAAUACAGUCGUUGGAGGUGGUUUCAGUGGCUUGGAUAGAUCCCGGUUGAAUCCGGUGAAGUGGUUGCCUUUGGUGAAGAAUGGUUUGUCGGUAAAGACGGUGAGUCUCAAGUUUCCGGUGUGAUUCCGGAGGAGAGACGUUUAGCGGUUCCGGCGGCGUUGUCAAGUCGGUGGGGAAGGGGACGUGUUCAAUCCUUACACACGUGUCUUCUCGUUCUUGUGUGCUCCCACACGUGGUGGGAAAGGGAGUUUCUAGUUUGGACCUCACUUUUGUUUUCCUGAGCUUUUUUAUCUUUGGUUUGGGUUAGUUUUUUAUGGUUGGGUUUUAGAACCUUGUUUUGUAUGUUUGGGUUUCGCCCUUUGGGCUUGGGCUUUUUUAUAAAUAAAAAUAGAUGAAAAAAAAAGUAUACUUUUUCACUUCUAUAUAUGCGACCGAUGGUGUUACAAAAAAAAUAAUAUAUGCGACUGAUGACUAAGUCAUGACAAAGUUAAUAGACACGUUGACAAAAACAAAAGUUAAUAGACACGUGCUGUAAAUGAAGAUGCAUGCACUUAUUCACUUUCGCUUGCUCUCAACUUUCAACGGAUAAAACGCCUUGAAUGAAACGAAUAUUCUAGAUCUAUCCGAAACAUAUUAAAGUAGACUAGUAUACUUUGUUUCCAGUUUUGUAUUCGAAACGAAUGACAGCAAACAACCAAACAAGACUAAGAUUUUUAUGCAAAUAAAUAAAAUUAGAAAUUUGCUCAAAAAAAAAAAUAUAAAUAAGUAUUAAAAUUAUAAAACAAACUGUACUAAGAUUAUAUGUUGAUCCAUUAUUUUAAUUAUAUACACAGAUAUUUAUAUAAUUAUUAAUGUACCAUUUAUAUUAUUAUCUUAUCAAAUUCUGUUAAUUUUUACAUUGAUUCAGUUUUCAAACAAAAUAAAUAAUUUACUAUAGCCGUCAUUUGGAUUUUUUUAUUGUUGCCGGCUAAUUUUAAUGUGUAAGAAAAAUAAAUAAAUGCAUAUACGGAAAGAAUACAAAACCCACAAAAAAAUAUUUAGUAAACAUAUAUAGACAGUAGAAAAAAUAAGGAGAAAUUUUAUUUUUACACUUUGUUUGAUACCACUAUUCAACUUUACCACCAAUUUAGGAACAUUUCCAUAAAUACAACUUUCAUUAAUGAACAAAAAACAAUAGUACCCUCACUACAAAAAAACAUAUUU
Long non-coding RNA from Brassica napus (rape), 4202 nucleotides. RefSeq lists it as uncharacterized. The record is from RefSeq and is a predicted model, not a curated record. The transcript has 3 exons. Lineage: Eukaryota; Viridiplantae; Streptophyta; Magnoliopsida; Brassicales; Brassicaceae.